UAUUAGGCAUGCUUGGGACUACAAAUGUGUUGGACUACAGAUCCCAUGAGUCCAAGUACUAUAAAGGGGGAAAUCAAAUCUUCUGGCCUUUCUCUUUGUGGGACCAUGUGCUGAGUAGCAGAAGCUGUGUGUAUGCUUAAAGGAUAUAUACUGGUGGAUGCCUCAGAAAUUGAGUAGAUUCAUUCAUUAACACAGAUGAUGCAUGAUUGCCGUUUACUUUUAUCUAAAAUAUUAGUGGGUUAAUGUUGGGUUGUAAGAUAUGACUUUUAAAAGUUACAGUAUGAUGAAGUGAUUUGAAUUUAUUGUGGGACUUUUUUGUUUUGUUUAUUUGUUUUUGUUUUUGUUUUAGUUUUUUGUUUUUUCAACUGCUUGCACACAAAAUUAUUACUUGUCACACAAUUUCUAAAACCUGACACUCAAACACCAG
Molecule: long non-coding RNA, 427 nt
Organism: Carassius auratus (goldfish)
Lineage: Eukaryota; Metazoa; Chordata; Actinopteri; Cypriniformes; Cyprinidae
Exons: 3
Source: RefSeq, a predicted model, not a curated record